This 3092-nucleotide long non-coding RNA is filed under the name Sus scrofa (pig). RNAcentral describes it as "lncRNA (ENSSSCG00005015699.1)". The record is from RNAcentral. Lineage: Eukaryota; Metazoa; Chordata; Mammalia; Artiodactyla; Suidae.
GGUUCUCAGGAUACCAGUCUGAGCAUGUGUAGCAAAGCCAGGGUGUGCAAACAGAAAUGAAAAGGAAUUUGGAAAACUCCUUCCUCACAUUCUCUGUUCAAUUCAGCAGCCAUGGGUUUUCUGCCCUUAGAUUGACUUAACUAAUACCUUCCCCCAUUUGAUUAAAAAAUUUUAAAUUCUAAGGCUUCCCCCCAACCGACUUCAUUCCCCCCCCCCUUUUUGAGUCAAUUCUCUUAAUUAAGUGAUGAAAAUUCAAAUAUUACAAAUGUCAUAUUUGGCAGCAGGCCCCAGUGUCCACAUCUUAUUCCCAAACUCUGGAUCGAGUUGGCCCUUUCCUCACAGCUUUUCUCUUUUUUCUUUUUUAUAUUUUUUAUUACAGUUGAUUUACAAUGUUCUGUCAAUUUCCACUGUAUAGCAUAGUGACCCAGUCACACAUAUGUAUAUGUUCUUUUUUUUUUAGGGCCACACCAGCAGCAUAUGGAGGUUUCCAGGCUAGGGUUUGAACUGGAGCUAUAACUGCCAGCCUACACCACAGCCACAGCAACACCAGAUCCCAGCCAUGUCUUCAACGUACACCGAAGCUCACAGCAACGCCUGAUGGUUAACCCACUGAGCAAGGCCAAGGAUCAAACCUGCAACCUCAUGGUUCCUUGUCGGAUUUGUUUCCACUGUACCACAAUGGGAACUCCCCGUUCGUUUUUAAUAUUCUUUUCUAUCACGGUCUGUUUCAGGAGAUUGGAUAGAGUUCCCUGUGCUAUACAGUAAGACCUCAUUGCUUAUUCAUUCUAAAUGUAAUACUUUGCAUCUACCAACCCCAAACUCCCUGUCCAUCUCACUCCCUUCCCCUCCCCCUUAGCAACCACAAAUCUGUUCUCCAUGUUUGUGAGUCUAUUGCUGUUCCAUAAAUAGGUUCAUCUGUGCCAUAUAUUAGAUUCCAGAUAUAAGUGAUAUCAUAUGGUGUCUUUCUCUUUCUGACUUACUUCACUUAGUAUGAGAAGCUCAAGUUGCAUCCAUGUUGUUGCAAAUGGCAUGAUUUUGUUCUUUUUUAUAGCUGAGUAGUAUUCCAUUGUGUAUAUAUACCACAUCUUCUUAAUCCAUUCAUCUGUCAGUGGACAUUUAGGUGGUUUCCAUGUCUAGGCAGGAAAGGUGUGGUCUUUCUUCUACCUCCUUGUCUCCCCCUUUCCCUUCUUCCUAAGAUAAUCCAUCAACAGAUUUAAAAGUAAUUAACUGGCAGAAGGUCAUAAACAGAAGAAAAUGUGAAUGUCUCUGUCCUUACGUUUCCAGCUCUGGCCUCAUUCUCAGAAAGCUAGCACUUUUUUUAAGGUUCUGAUUGUGAUUACUUAUAAUUCCAUUUCUUACCUUUCAGAGCAAAUCAGCCACAGAUUGAGACACAGUAUCUACAGACAGUCUGCUCUGAAAGAUAUGGAAUUUUCCUUAGACUGCUCUCAGCGUCUCCUCCUCCUCUUUGCCGAUUUUUGUUCUAGUAUUAUUUUUAUUUAUUUGAACACCCAGUUGCCUUUAUUUUUUUUAUUUUUUAUUUUUAUUUUUUGUCUUUUUGCUAUUUCUUGGGCCGCUCCUGCGGCAUAUGGAGAUUCCCAGGCUAGGGGUCCAGUCAGAGCUGUAGCCAUCGGCCUACACCAGAGCCACAGCAACAUGGGAUCCGAGCCGCGUCUGCAACCUACACCACAGCUCAUGGCAACGCCGGAUUGUUAACCCACUGAGCAAGGGCAGGGACCGAACCUGCAACCUCAUGGUUCCUAGUUGGAUUCAUUAACCACUGCGCCACGACGGGAACUCCAGUUGCCUUUAUGAUUUAAAUGCGAUGCAUAAACCUAAUUUUUGAUUCAUUCACCUUAGGUUGCACCUGUGGACUCCCAGUCAAAAGAUGAAGAAAUGAGCACCCUCCCCUGCCCUUAGUUUCAGCUAGUUAUGGCAAUUUGACAUUGUCUAGGCUUGUAAACUUUUCAUUCGGUUUUGUGACUAAAUAUGCCUUUCAUACUUCCUCUUUACGUUGAUUUUAAACAUGGAAACUGCAACAUUUAUUUUGUGUUUGUCAGAGUUCUGUUUGGUCUUGAUUUUUCUGAGGAGUCAAACCACAGGCUUCCCUCUUCUCUUUUCCUUCAUUAAGUCUGAAUUUCCAGUAUCUCGCUUGGUAAAUGUAAAAUUGUAACCUAUGAUCUUGAAAGCAUUUCUGAAGUUAUAAAUAAUUUUACUCCUCACAGGAGUAAGAGCUUAUUAUCAGAUGCACGAUGGGCUGGAAUGGGUUGAAUGCCUAACUCUGGCCUUAUUUAUACUUUGGCAUGGUAAUAAUACUCAUAUUCCUUUCUGAACCUUUAGUUUCUUAGAUAGUUGAAAAUAAUGAUGUCAGUCUCACCUGGGUGUUGAGAGGGUUGAUUCAUGUAAGUAGAAAAGAAGUUGUUACGUAGAAUGUGUUUUCUACAUACGAGGCAGGACUUUUGAAGCCAUUGUCAGUAGAGAAAGAGAAGUUACUGCUGUUUAGCAUGUGGAGGAGUGUGGCCGGUUUUUCUCAUUGACCUGUCCAUUUCAGUAGCAUCCUGCCUCAGCAAGCGGCCCAGAUGAGCAAAAGCUUAGCAGAGAGGAAUGGGGGCCUUGCCCUGUGAGUCUUCUAAGUGAUUCCACACCAGCAAUUGGAACUGGGAUUUGCCUUUACUGACCAAGCUGCCUGCUGGUCAGCCGGGAGUCGACCACUGCUGAGAUGUGUGGCAGGUGCAGGCGUUGGCCCAGGAGGCUUGCUGGAGAGAAAGGAGGACCUUAUGGAGAGCUGUAGCUCCUUCGUCCUGUCCACCAGGGCGCUGUGUGAGGAGCAGGGUGGGCCCAGAUGGGACAGGUUUAAUGUUUUUAAUCCAUAAAAACUUGGUGCUACAGGCAUUUCAGAUGCACCUGCCGUCAUCUUUUUGAAGCACCCAUGAAAACACUGAUGAGAAUUUCAGACAGCACUACAGUGGCAGUGUUCCUGUUUUCCCUAAUUGAAGGAGCAUUAGCACGUGUAAUUUGAAUAGUCUGCUCUUAGGCUGAGGAUAAUAACUGAGUCUAAAAGCAAAAAAAAAAAAAAAAAAAAAAAAAAAAAAAAA